AAUCGAACUCGGAGAUAGCUGGUUCUCCCCGAAAUAGCUUUAGGGCUAGCCUCAUAUUAGAUACCCGGAGGUAAAGCACUGAAUGGCCUAGCGCCCGAGAGGGUAGCGAAGCCUAUCAAACUAAGAAUGCCGGAGUAUUGAUGUAUGGGAGUCAGACAGUGUGAGAUAAAUCUCAUUGUCAAAAGGGAAACAGCCCAGAUCUACAGCUAAGGUCCCAAAUUGUAUCUAAGUGGAAAACGAUGUGGAAAUACGCAGACAACCAGGAUGUUGGCUCAGAAGCAGCCACUCAUUUAAAGAGUGCGUAAUAGCUCACUGGUCGAGCGUCUCUGCGCGGAAAAUUUAACGGGGCUAAGAUACAAACCGAAGCUUAGGCUGCACGUAAGUGCGGGGUAGGGGAGCGUUGUGUAAGCGGAGAAACAGUAGCGUAAGCGGCUGUGGAGUUUACAGAAGUGAGAAUGCCGGAAUGAGUAGCGCGAAUGUGGUGAGAAUCCACAUGGCCGGAAACCUCAGGUUUUUGGAGGAAGGUUCGUCCGCUCCAAGUUAGGCGGGAGCUAAGGUAAGGCCGAAAGGCGUAGCCGAUGCACAGACGGUAGAGAUUCCGUCCCCACCGAAAGAUUUAAGCACAGGGACACUUUUUGAAGGUCGGAGCCAGGUGUUGGUUCUGGUAGUGAUCGAGGGAAAUAUAGUACCGAAGUCCGGCUGGAAGAGAGGCGAGAAAAGCUGUGUGUAUAUCUAAGGUGCCCGUACCGCAAACCGACACAGGUAGGUAGGAAGAAGAUUCUAAGGCCAACGGGAGAAGGGUUGUUAAGGAACUCGGCAAGUUGACCCCGUAACUUCGGAAUAAGGGGUGCUCACGAGAGUGAGCCGCAGAGAAUAGGCCCAGGCAACUGUUUACCAAAAACACAGGUUUGUGCUAAAUCGAAAGAUGACGUAUACGAGCUGACGCCUGCCCGGUGCUGGAAGGUUAAGAGGAGAUGUGCAAGCAUUGAAUCGAAGCCCCAGUGAACGGCGGCCGUAACUAUAACGGUCCUAAGGUAGCGAAAUUCCUUGUCAGGUAAGUUCUGACCCGCAUGAAAGGCGUAAUGAUUUGGGCACUGUCUCAACAGCCCGCCCGGCGAAAUUGUAGUACCGGUGAAGAUGCCGGUUACCCGCGACAAGACGGAAAGACCCCAUGGAGCUUUACUGUAGCCUGAUAUUGGGUUUCGGUGUUGCAUGCACAGGAUAGAUGGGACGCUGGGAAAGAAGCGCUUUGGCGUUUCUGGAGCGGACGUUGGGAUACCAUCCUUGCGACAUUGGAAUUCUAACCUGCGCCUCUGAAUCGAGGCGGGGGACAUUGUCAGGUGGGCAGUUUGACUGGGGCGGUCGCCUCCUAAAAAGUAGCGGAGGCGUUCAAAGGUUCGUUCGAUCUGGACGGAAACCAGAUGAUUGAGUGCAAACGCAUAAACGAGCCUGACUGCGAGACUGACGGGUCGAGCAGAGACGAAAGUCGGAGUUAGUGAUCCGGUGGUAUGUGAGUGGAAAUGCCAUCGCUCAACGGAUAAAAGCUACCCUGGGGAUAACAGGCUGAUCUCCCCCAAGAGUCCACAUCGACGGGGAGGUUUGGCACCUCGAUGUCGGCUCAUCGCAUCCUGGGGCUGAAUUCGGUCCCAAGGGUUUGGCUGUUCGCCAAUUAAAGCGGUACGCGAGCUGGGUUCAGAACGUCGUGAGACAGUUCGGUCCCUAUCUGUCGUGGGCGCAGGAUAUUUGAGAGGCGCUGUCCCUAGUACGAGAGGACCGGGAUGGACGAACCUCUGGUGCACCAGUUGUCACGCCAGUGGCACAGCUGGGCAGCUAUGUUCGGAUCGGAUAAACGCUGAAAGCAUCUAAGCGUGAAGCCGGCCUUAAGAUAAGAUAUCCCACUGAGUCAAUCAGGUAAGACCCCUUGA
RNAcentral lists this ribosomal RNA (1925 nucleotides) under human gut metagenome. Its description in RNAcentral is "bacterial LSU rRNA". It matches the Rfam family "Bacterial large subunit ribosomal RNA", at positions 831 to 2841 of the family's 2925-position model. The record is from RNAcentral.